Molecule: ribosomal RNA, 544 nt
Filed under: uncultured Sphingobacteriaceae bacterium
Lineage: Bacteria; Pseudomonadati; Bacteroidota; Sphingobacteriia; Sphingobacteriales; Sphingobacteriaceae
Description: bacterial SSU rRNA
Rfam family: Bacterial small subunit ribosomal RNA
Source: RNAcentral
ACACAGGAUAGCAUUAUCCAAUGUUCAAAUAUUUAUAGGAUUAAGAUGGGCAUGCGUGUCAUUAGCUAGUUGGCGGGGUAACGGCCCACCAAGGCGACGAUGACUAGGGGAUCUGAGAGGAUGACCCCCCACACUGGUACUGAGACACGGACCAGACUCCUACGGGAGGCAGCAGUAAGGAAUAUUGGUCAAUGGAGGGAACUCUGAACCAGCCAUGCCGCGUGCAGGAAGACAGCCCUCUGGGUCGUAAACUGCUUUUAUUCGGGAAUAAACCUUUCUACGUGUAGGAAGCUGAAUGUACCGAAGGAAUAAGGAUCGGCUAACUCCGUGCCAGCAGCCGCGGUAAUACGGAGGAUCCAAGCGUUAUCCGGAUUUAUUGGGUUUAAAGGGUGCGUAGGCGGCUUAUUAAGUCAGGGGUGAAAGACGGUGGCUCAACCAUCGCAGUGCCCUUGAUACUGAUGAGCUUGAAUACACUAGAGGUAGGCGGAAUGUGACAAGUAGCGGUGAAAUGCAUAGACAUGUCACAGAACACCGAUUGCGAAGG